This is a non-coding RNA of Vicia faba (fava bean), 306 nucleotides long. The record is from the annotation of a GenBank genome assembly. Lineage: Eukaryota; Viridiplantae; Streptophyta; Magnoliopsida; Fabales; Fabaceae.
GACGGUGGCGACUCUUGCUUCCGCGACAUUUCGCGUACCAGCGUUAAACAGUCAGUUCCAGAUCCACCGAUCACAGCAUCACUCCCACGUUGGGCUUUUUUUUCUUCUUUUUUUUACAAAGUUAUUGGGUUCGUAAGUGGGGGUUGGAUGUCCUUGUUAGGUACACCCAGUCAAGGUCUGUUUCAUGUGUAUACUUUUAAUUUGAAAAUUUUUAAAGACAAGUCUAUGAAGGUGAGUGAGAGUGAUAAUUGUCUCAAAGUUUUGUAUAAGGAGGACGAGUCAUAUCGUUGGUUCAGAGGUGUCUGA